This 73-nucleotide transfer RNA is filed under the name Camelus ferus (Wild Bactrian camel). It matches the Rfam family "tRNA". From Rfam's summary of the family: Transfer RNA (tRNA) molecules are approximately 80 nucleotides in length. Their secondary structure includes four short double-helical elements and three loops (D, anti-codon, and T loops). Further hydrogen bonds mediate the characteristic L-shaped molecular structure. tRNAs have two regions of fundamental functional importance: the anti-codon, which is responsible for specific mRNA codon recognition, and the 3' end, to which the tRNAs corresponding amino acid is attached (by aminoacyl-tRNA synthetases). tRNAs cope with the degeneracy of the genetic code in two manners: having more than one tRNA (with a specific anti-codon) for a particular amino acid; and 'wobble' base-pairing, i.e. permitting non-standard base-pairing at the 3rd anti-codon position. The record is from Rfam by way of RNAcentral. Lineage: Eukaryota; Metazoa; Chordata; Mammalia; Artiodactyla; Camelidae.
GAGCGUUUGGCUCAAGCGGUAGAGCGCAAGCUUAGCAUGCAUGCGGUCCUGGGUUCAAUCCCCGGUACCUCCU